RNAcentral lists this ribosomal RNA (849 nucleotides) under Serratia sp. SFA2.2. RNAcentral describes it as "bacterial SSU rRNA". It matches the Rfam family "Bacterial small subunit ribosomal RNA", at positions 105 to 950 of the family's 1533-position model. The record is from RNAcentral. Lineage: Bacteria; Pseudomonadati; Pseudomonadota; Gammaproteobacteria; Enterobacterales; Yersiniaceae.
GGUGAGUAAUGUCUGGGAAACUGCCUGAUGGAGGGGGAUAACUACUGGAAACGGUAGCUAAUACCGCAUGAYGUCUUCGGACCAAAGUGGGGGACCUUCGGGCCUCACGCCAUCAGAUGUGCCCAGAUGGGAUUAGCUAGUAGGUGGGGUAAUGGCUCACCUAGGCGACGAUCUCUAGCUGGUCUGAGAGGAUGACCAGCCACACUGGAACUGAGACACGGUCCAGACUCCUACGGGAGGCAGCAGUGGGGAAUAUUGCACAAUGGGCGCAAGCCUGAUGCAGCCAUGCCGCGUGUAUGAAGAAGGCCUUCGGGUUGUAAAGUACUUUCAGCGAGGAGGAAGGCAUUAAGGUUAAUAACCUURGUGAUUGACGUUACUCGCAGAAGAAGCACCGGCUAACUCCGUGCCAGCAGCCGCGGUAAUACGGAGGGUGCAAGCGUUAAUCGGAAUUACUGGGCGUAAAGCGCACGCAGGCGGUUGAUUAAGUCAGAUGUGAAAUCCCCGAGCUUAACUUGGGAACUGCAUUUGAAACUGGUCAGCUAGAGUCUUGUAGAGGGGGGUAGAAUUCCAGGUGUAGCGGUGAAAUGCGUAGAGAUCUGGAGGAAUACCGGUGGCGAAGGCGGCCCCCUGGACAAAGACUGACGCUCAGGUGCGAAAGCGUGGGGAGCAAACAGGAUUAGAUACCCUGKUAGUCCACGCUGUAAACGAUGUCGACUUGGAGGUUGUGCCCUUGAGGCGUGGCUUCCGGAGCUAACGCGUUAAGUCGACCGCCUGGGGAGUACGGCCGCAAGGUUAAAACUCAAAUGAAUUGACGGGGGCCCGCACAAGCGGUGGAGCAUGUGGUUUAAU